AGAGGCCCUAGUUGAUAAACACGGCGUAAAGGGUGGUUAGGGGAAUAUAAAAAUAAAGCCGAAGAGCCCUCUGGCUGUUAUACGCUUCCAGGCGCCCGAAGCUCAAAUACGAAAGUAGCUUUAACUAAGACCACCUGACCCCACGAAAACUGAGAAACAAACUGGGAUUAGAUACCCCACUAUGCUCAGUCAUAAACCCAAAUGCCAAAUUACAAUAGGCAUUCGCCAGGGUACUACGAGCGUCA
This 245-nucleotide ribosomal RNA is filed under the name Thoburnia atripinnis (blackfin sucker). RNAcentral describes it as "partial 12S ribosomal RNA". The record is from RNAcentral. Lineage: Eukaryota; Metazoa; Chordata; Actinopteri; Cypriniformes; Catostomidae.